CCCUUAGAUGUUCUGGGCCGCACGCGCGCUACAAUGAUGAAUUCAACGAGUUUAUAACCUUGGUUGAAAAGCCUGGGUAAUCUUUUGGACUUUCGUCGUGAUGGGGCUAGACCCUUGCAAUUAUUGGUCUCCAACGAGGAAUUCCUAGUAAACGCAAGUCAUCAGCUUGCAUUGAUUACGUCCCUGCCCUUUGUACACACCGCCCGUCGCACCUACCGAUUGAAUGGUCCGGUGAAAUCUUCGGACUGCGCGGUCUGCAGUUUCUGCGUUCCGUGCGGAAAGUUGCGCAAACCUUAACAUUUAGAGGAAGGAGAAGUCGUAACA
RNAcentral lists this ribosomal RNA (324 nucleotides) under uncultured eukaryote. Its description in RNAcentral is "partial 18S ribosomal RNA". It matches the Rfam family "Eukaryotic small subunit ribosomal RNA", at positions 1470 to 1796 of the family's 1831-position model. The record is from RNAcentral.